This 1069-nucleotide long non-coding RNA is filed under the name Astyanax mexicanus (Mexican tetra). RNAcentral describes it as "lncRNA (ENSAMXG00005001745.1)". Lineage: Eukaryota; Metazoa; Chordata; Actinopteri; Characiformes; Acestrorhamphidae. The record is from RNAcentral.
GUUAGAAUUAGUUGGAGAGUUGAAUUUUAAUUUGAAAAUAGGUUACAAUAUCUGAAUCAUCUCUGUACUAUAUGUAACCUAGGAAUAAUCAGACUUACCAUCAAGACCUUUACACAUGUUUACUUAGCUUAGUCUAAGUAGUCUCUGCCCUGCCAAAUUUGCUGUUUCAUCAUGACGAUCAUGUCUAUUGUUCACUCAGUAUUUUAAUUAAUUCAUGUAUUUUUGUUACUCUAGGAUACAUGUUGGAACCGGAUCAAGAAAAAAGACCAGACAUCUAUCAAGUGUCUCACUUUGCCUUCAGAUUAGCUGGAAAGGAAUGUCCAGUGCCAAAUCUAUUUGUAAGUAUUUUUUCAUAGCUUAUACAGUAAUUAGAGCAUUUUAAAGCAUUGAGAAUGUUUUGAAGCAGUACUGGUAGAUUUGAGGUUUUGACUUUGUGUUUCUGAUGGCAGAACUCUCCCAUCCCCACCACGCUGCCGGAGCCACUAACAGCCAGUGACAUCGCUGCUAAGAAGAGCCUGACAAAAGCCAGGAUAACAGAGUCCGUAGGCCCCACGGAAACGUCCAUUGCUCCGAGGCAAAGGCCAAAAGCUGCCAACAGCAACGUCCUUCCACUGCCUAACUCAGUAACUCCAGUGAAAAUGACCGUUCCCUCUGGAACCGUCAGCAACGGCCAAAGUGCCCAAGGGAACGGACAGCAGGCGACUGUGCCGAUACAGAGCAGCAAUCAGCAGAAGAGAGUUUUACAGCAGCUGCAGCCUGGAGACCUGAGACUCCAACUCCAACAACAACCACAACAACAACCACCACCUCAUCAUCAACACCAUCAACAACAACAACAUAACAUGCACCACCAGCAACAACUCAAUGCACAACAGCUGCAGUACAUGCAGGUAAUCUUGAUAUAAGAUAUUGUCUUUUUUUUGUUAAACACAGAGACAUUAGUAGCAAGUGCUAUAAGUUCCAUGGUGGAGCAAGUAAGUUUAAUUGAUAUUAAAUAUUGACAGUGGAAUAUGUUACAGGGUGUGUGUGCACCAAUAAAUUAUGAAUAUUAAUGUAAAGUUACUUUAUU